RNAcentral lists this ribosomal RNA (249 nucleotides) under uncultured bacterium. RNAcentral's name for it is "partial 16S ribosomal RNA". It matches the Rfam family "Bacterial small subunit ribosomal RNA", at positions 523 to 769 of the family's 1533-position model. The record is from RNAcentral.
AUACGAAGGGUGCAAGCGUUACUCGGAAUUACUGGGCGGUAAAGCGUGCGUAGGUGGUGGUUUAAGUCUGCUGUGAAAGCCCUGGGCUCAACCUGGGAAUUGCAGUGGAUACUGGAUCACUAGAGUGUGGUUAGAGGGAUGCGGAAUUUCUGGUGUAGCAGUGAAAUGCGUAGAGAUCAGAAGGAACAUCCGUGGCGAAGGCGGCAUCCUGGGCCAACACUGACACUGAGGCACGAAAGCGUGGGGAGC